This 3263-nucleotide long non-coding RNA is filed under the name Nicotiana tabacum (common tobacco). RNAcentral describes it as "long non-coding RNA (NTAB_LNC013813)". The record is from RNAcentral. Lineage: Eukaryota; Viridiplantae; Streptophyta; Magnoliopsida; Solanales; Solanaceae.
AAAAACCUUACAUUUUUAUCCGCGCCGCUUGACACAAAAAAGGACCCCAACCUGAUCUUCUUCUUCAUGAAAAAAGCCAACAAGAAAAAACCCAGAGCUCUAAGGAAGCUUAAGCCGCAGCAGCCAUGAAAAGAAGCUCCACCCUAACUCUACCGCCUCUGUCGUCUCCCUCAUCCCCAGCCUCAGAAAAUCAGUAGCCAUCAGACCUCACUGCCUGAAACCCGCCGGAAAACAACCCCUUCCUUUCCAGUUUCAGUCACACACAAACACAACUGAAAAAACGACCUUAAUCCCAAUCAAAAGCCCAGCGGAAACGCGCUUGAAUCACCUCUGAACUCCAGCCAUUAGAAGCAGCGAAACAAGCUGCAAAUAGCUCUCAAACCGUUCAAGUACGAGCAGCUUUUUGAUCGUGGUUUGAGUCGCUGAAGUUGGGUCCGAUUGCCGUCGAGUUCGAGUUAGACAGAGUUUCCGUUCGUUAGCUUCAGUUCCGGUUCUCUGUUUUGGGGUGGGUUCGAUCUCCUCUACUGGGAUUUUGGGAAUGAAAACGUGGAUCUAGUCCGGAAUAUUGUCGAUCUAGAGAUCACCGAAGCUGUUACGCAAAAGUUUUCUGCAAGGCAAGUCCAAGUUCCAUUUAUUCGACCACUUACACAUUUCCUCUAAAAUUGAUUUGCUUGGAUUUAGUUUACGCAUACCUGUUUAUAUAUGUCAACGCUUGUUUUCUAAUUCUACAUCUGAUUUUAACAUGCUACUGAGCCUGCAUGGCCAGUGAAAUUGAUUAUAGCAUCUUAUUGACAAUUUAUGUAUGAUAUUUAAACUUUUCUUAUUAUUCCAUAUGGUGAUUUACUCAUAGUUACAUUUAGAGGUCUCAUGUAUAUUAUGUCAGAAAUUAUCUGUGUGGAAAUUAAGUGUUUGACAAAUAUGGUUUCGAGAAGCUUAGCUGCCUUAGCAACCUGCGUUUAUAUCAGGCACAAGUAGGAUUUACAUUCCUUUUCUAUUUUCAAAGGCUCAAUCCUAAUAAUUAUCUAUGCUUAAAAAACAAUUAGGAAGCAAGUGAAUUUCUUGCGUACUGAUGCAUAUCUUUUGUUUUGCUUAAUUUGCUUGUAAAGAAAAAUGUUUAAAUUUUUGGUUGGUAAAAUUAUCCAUCAUAACAAGUUGCUUAUUUGAUUGAAAGGAGCAAGUGAGUGAUUUCCAUAUAAAUUAAGGUAUGCGUUCGUCCAACUUCGAACAAACUUCCUUAAUAAUAAAAUUAGUUUUCAUAGGUUACUAAUACUCCGGGGUGAGCCAUCCACGUUUUAAUCAUACAUGGCCCUCAUAUAAAUUUCGUAUAAUUUAGAUAUUAAAAAUGAAUCUCUAGUAGUUUGCUUUAGGAGCAUUAAUUAAAUAAACCGUCAUAGCUACGGUUACGGUUCCCAUGACGUAGUUGUGAUGCUUAAUUUCCAAAUUCGGGGUACAUUUGUGUGACCCGGCCACAAUUUAAUCUUUUUAAAUAAAAUGAGUACGUUGUGGAUCGUGGGUACGGCUCUCGUGACAUGAUUCGCAAUCGUGCAAUCAAUAAUUAGUUGUAUAACAAUUGGAUUAUUAAAAGCGAUUUUAAAAGGAAUAAAAUGCACAUAGGUUUUAAAUAUGUAAUUAAUCAGAUAACUAAGUCAAUUAAUAAUAGUUGAGCAACCGUGCUAAAAUUACGGAACCCGGGAAUGCCUAACACAUUCUCCCGGGUUAACAGAAUUCCUGACCCGGAUCUCUGUGUUUUGCGGACUGUAAAACAGAGUCAAAAUUCCUCGGUUUGGGAUUUUAAACCAUUGACUUGGGACACCAAUAAACUAUCCCAAGUGAUGACUCUGAAUUUUAAAUAAAAUAAUCCCGUUUCGAUUGUCACUUAAAUUGGAAAAAACUCCCUUAUAUACCCUUUCGGUGGUAAAAAAAGAGGUGUGACAGUGGAAACAAGAGGUAAAGCAGUAGUUGAGGCUUGAAUUCUCUUCGUGGCAUCGAGGUAAGUGAUUGGUCUAACCUUAGCUUGAGGGAUUAGGAGUUGUAUCUUAUUUGCUAUGUGUUAAUUGUGGAGUACGACGUAUAAGCAUGGUGACGAGUAUCUAUACGUCGGUGUCAAGCAUACCCGUGAGUCUCGUAUGGUAAUUGUUGUGACUUCAUUAUAAUUUGUUCAUGCUUAAUAUAAUGAUUAUCAUUGUUAGUUCCCUUACCGGGAUGUCAUUGUUAUGAUAUUGUUUCCCUUGCUGUGAUGUUAUUGUUUACGAUAUUGUCUCCCUUGCCGGGAUGUUAUUGUUAUACUCGUGUUCCUUGCCGGGAUUCUUUUAUGAUUGAUGUUGAUUUUUCAAAUGGGAUAGGGUUGCACGCCUACAACAAGAUAUAUGAAAUGGGAUCGGGUGGCACGCCGCCACGGUGAUAUAUGAAAUAGGAUCGGGUUGCACGCCUGCAACAAGAUAUAUGAAAUGGGAUCGGGUGGCACGCUGCCACGGUGAUAUAUGAAACGGGAUCGGAUUGCACGCCUACAACAGGAUAUAUGAAAUGGGAUCAAGUGACAUGCCGCCACGGUGAUACAUAAAAUGGGAUCGGGUUGCACGCCUACAACAAGAUAUAUGAAAUGGGAUCGGGUUGCACGCUGUAACAAGAUAUAUGAAAUGGGAUCGUGUGGCACGCCGCCAUGGUGAUAUAUGAAAUGGGAUCGGGUUGCACGCCUGCAAUGAGGAAGAAAUGAAAGUGAAUAUUGUGUUUGUUUUCCUUAUUCUUGUUGGCAUUUAAAUGUUGGUUUCUUUACAUUCCUCUUUUGGUAUUCUUUUGUUAGCUGAUAUUCCCCGCAACAUGUUUUCCCCUCCCAUCUUUAGCUGUAAUUAUCUGCUUUUAUCUUUCCAUUGUAUAUGAUUUAAUUGCACAUGUUUAUUUGGUAGUCUGGUCCUAGCCUCGUCACUACUUCACCGAUGUUAGGCUAGGUACUUACCAGCACAUGGGGUCGGUUGUGCUGAUACUAAACUCUAAAUUGUGUACAGAUCCCGGUGCUACAACUUUUGGACCGCAGUGAGGUUGCUGUCUUCAGUCCAAUAGGCGACCCGAAGUAGUCAUGUAGGCAUCCACAGGCCUUAGCGUCUCCCUCUAUCUUUCCAUUCUGUUUCUUUUAUGUAUUUUAGAGACAACUUUGUACUUAUCUUUUAAACCUCUGUUUGUAGUAUUCGUAGAUAGUCCGUGACUUUGUGACACCAAAUUUUGGGUAGUGUUAUAUAUCGGAUUCAUAUAACAAUGUUUGGUUAAAC